RNAcentral lists this ribosomal RNA (302 nucleotides) under uncultured bacterium. RNAcentral describes it as "partial 16S ribosomal RNA". It matches the Rfam family "Bacterial small subunit ribosomal RNA", at positions 508 to 807 of the family's 1533-position model. The record is from RNAcentral.
GCAGCCGCCGCGGGAAUACGAAGGGGGCUAGCGUUGCUCGGAAUGACUGGGCGUAAAGCGCACGUAGGCGGCUUUGUAAGUCAGAGGUGAAAGCCCGGAGCUCAACUCCGGAAUUGCCUUUAAGACUGCAGAGCUAGCAGGUGAGAGAGGUGAGUGGAAUUCCGAGUGUAGAGGUGAAAUUCGUAGAUAUUCGGAAGAACACCAGUGGCGAAGGCGGCUCACUGGCUCAUACUGGACGCUGAGGUGCGAAAGCGUGGGGAGCAAACAGGAUUAGAUACCCCCGUAGUCCCUGUCUCUUAUAC